GUGCAGCAGGCGCGAAUCCUCCGCAAUACACGAAAGUGUGACGGGGUUACCCAAAGUGUCCAAAUUUGGACUGUGGUAGGUGAGUAAUGUCCCCUACUAGAAAGGAGAGGGCAAGGCUGGUGCCAGCCGCCGCGGUAAAACCAGCUCUUCAAGUGGUCGGGAUAAUUAUUGGGCUUAAAGUGUCCGUAGCCGGUUUUAGUAAGUUCCUGGUAAAAUCGGGGUAGCUUAACUAUCUGUAUGCUAGGAAUACUGCUAUACUAGAGGGCGGGAGAGGUCUGAGGUACUACAGGGGUAGGGGUGAAAUCCUGUAAUCCUUGUAGGACCACCAGUGGCGAAGGCGUCAGACUGGAACGCGCCUGACGGUGAGGGACGAAAGCCAGGGGAGCGAACCGGAUUAGA
Molecule: ribosomal RNA, 399 nt
Filed under: uncultured microorganism
Description: bacterial SSU rRNA
Rfam family: Archaeal small subunit ribosomal RNA
Source: RNAcentral